AUUCCAGCUCCAAUAGCGUAUAUUAAAGUUGUUGCAGUUAAAAAGCUCGUAGUUGGAUUUCUGGUGCAUUCCACUGGCCUAUUGGUUAACUCCAACUUGGCUCAUUUGGAAUACGCCAUCUUUAGGCAGACCCGUCGUGGCAUUAGGUUGUCGUGAUGGUUACGCCUAUCGUUUACUGUGAAGAAAUUAGGGUGUUCAAAGCAGGCUUAUGCCAUGAAUACGUUAGCAUGGAAUAAUGAGAUAGGAUUUCGGUACUAUUUUGCUGGUUUGUGUACGGAAAUAAUGAUUAACAGGAACAGUGUUGUGGGUAUUCGUAUUUCGUUGUCAGAGGUGAAAUUCUUGGAUUUACGAAAGACGAACGACUGCGAAAGCAUUUACCAAGGAUGUUUUCAUCA
Molecule: ribosomal RNA, 395 nt
Filed under: Leptocylindrus sp.
Lineage: Eukaryota; Bacillariophyta; Leptocylindrophyceae; Leptocylindrales; Leptocylindraceae
Description: partial small subunit ribosomal RNA
Rfam family: Eukaryotic small subunit ribosomal RNA
Source: RNAcentral